UACGGAAGGCAGCAGGGGGAAUAUUGCACAAUGGGCGAAAGCCUGAUGCAGCUAUGCCGCGUGUAUGAAGAAGGCCUUAGGGUUGUAAAGUACUUUCAUCGGGGAGGAAAAACAAAACUAAUAAUUUUAUUUCUUGACGUUACCCGAAAAAGAAGCACCGGCUAACUCCGUGCCAGCAGCCGCGGUAAUACGGAGGGUGCUAGCGUUAAUCAGAAUUACUGGGCGUAAAGAGCACGUAGGUGGUUUUUUUAAAGUCAGAUGUGAAAUCCCUGGGCUUAACCUAGGAACUGCAUUUUGAAACUGAAAUACUAGAGUAUCGUAGAGGGAGGUAGAAUUCUAGGUGUAGCGGUGAAAUGCGUAGAUAUCUGGAGGAAUACCUGUGGCGAAAGCGGCCUCCUAAACGAAUACUGACACUGAGGUGCGAAAGCGUGGGGAGCAAACAGGGAUUAGAUACCCGU
Molecule: ribosomal RNA, 458 nt
Filed under: uncultured bacterium
Lineage: Bacteria
Description: bacterial SSU rRNA
Rfam family: Bacterial small subunit ribosomal RNA
Source: RNAcentral